AAGCCCAUGGGAGGCCAGCAUGGCUAGGAAAAUUAGGCCCAGGAUUCCCAGCUGCAUACAGCGCUUGCCCACCAAGGCCUGCGUCUCCUCUCAUGUGCCCCAGCUGGCUUUGAGGCAGUUCGUUCUGAUUUACACCAGUGCUGGGACCAGCUAGCAGGCAAAGGGCCAGAGAGCAGAUGCUUUGGAAGCCACCUGGAGAGAAGGACAGGCCGGGGUGCACGGCCAGAGGACAGGGUCACGUCGGGCAGCACCAUGGGAGGCCUUCGUCCUGCAAGGGACAGAGCGAGGAUGAGGAUGGGGUGAAGACACUGACGUGCCAGGAUCCCUGCGAGCACAUGUGAUGAGGACUCGACGGGGGGGGGGGGGGGGGGGGAAUCUGUGGGGGCACAGGGCUCCCGAGGGGCAGUAGCUCUACCCUGGGCCCCCGCCCAGGGAGCCCCCCCUCCCCAGGGGCUGGUGCUGCUGGACCCGCGGCUGGGGGUGUCCAGGCACUUACGCUGGAUGUGCUCUUCUCCGCCCCGGCCGAAGAGACGCUCCACCGCUUCUCUCUCUGGGGGGAAGCACAGGAAAGGGCAGCUGGCGUCAGACACUAAGGCACAGGCCCCCCCUCACCGCGGCUGAGCCCUAUGGCACCGGCUACUGGACGUCACCCACCUCAGGUGCCUUAUGGGUGGUGUGGGCCCCCAGGCAGCCCCCCGGCUUGGGAGGAGGGGUGGGCUGUGACGCGCAACGAUAUCGAC
Long non-coding RNA from Chelonia mydas (Green sea turtle), 740 nucleotides. RefSeq lists it as uncharacterized. The transcript has 3 exons. The record is from RefSeq and is a predicted model, not a curated record. NCBI's taxonomy places the organism in Eukaryota, Metazoa, Chordata, Testudines, Cheloniidae.